CCUGUGUUCGCUGACGGCUGUGAUGGCCUCCACCAAGGUCAGGUGCUCGUGAAUCAUCAGGUACGCCAGCACCAGUGUGGAGGAGCGACUCAGGCCCAUGGCACAGUGGACAAAGACCCUGGCUGCAGCUGAAGAUCAAGAUCUAAAAGCAGCGCUAGGAAAUUCCUGUUGGGAUAGAUGGCCCUUUUCUUGAUGACUUUCCGAAUCGCGCUGUGGAGACUGAGGUGAUGAUACAGCAUUAGGUAUGCCAACACCAAGGUGGAAGAUCGACUCAUUCCCAUGAUGCAGUGCACCAGCACUUUCCCUGAGAGAAGGCAAAGUUAAAAGGGGAUAUCUGCAGAACCUCCAUCAUAUAGUAAUAAAAUACAUGACUUCCCA
Long non-coding RNA from Paramormyrops kingsleyae, 378 nucleotides. RefSeq lists it as uncharacterized. The record is from RefSeq and is a predicted model, not a curated record. Lineage: Eukaryota; Metazoa; Chordata; Actinopteri; Osteoglossiformes; Mormyridae.